Long non-coding RNA from Oreochromis aureus, 1155 nucleotides. The record is from Ensembl. NCBI's taxonomy places the organism in Eukaryota, Metazoa, Chordata, Actinopteri, Cichliformes, Cichlidae.
GAGAAAGGGGCUCAGGAAGUACCAGCCCAUGCAAGACUGUAGGUUGUAUUUCAACGGUUCAUUUCCACAGCAGCCAAUAAAGGGAAGUGAAUUCUGAGCGCUCACUGACGCAGCUCUGACACAAACCACAGAGCUGUAGAGGCUUCAAUGCUCGUCUGCUUGUCUAACGCGAUCUUUAGCACUUUAUCAUUAUAAUGAAGGUAAUAUAAGUCAAAAGGUCUAAAUAUAGUGCCAGGAUCACGUUAAAGGAGUACCUGUAGAAACUCGGCUUAGCUUUGGACUUAAAUUUGGACUUUUUUGUUUUGUCGUGGUUGUUCUGGACGUUGAUGAGUGCUGUGGGAAGUUACGUCCGUCUCCAGAUUCUUCGACGAUUGAUGUUUGUUUUUGUGUUUAAUCGGUCACAAAGGAGCUGUGUGUGUUUUUCAAGGCAGCUACAAGCUGUUUGGAGUGAACAUGGAGCGGAGACAGAGACGGAGAGGAAUAAGGAGCUUGUGUUUGAGGUCUGGAUACAACUACACGAAAUCUGCAAAUAUGGUGACUGUGCUCUCUCUAUGGGUGGACUUGCUGUCUGCACUGCGGGUAGUUGACCAGACCUAACUGACAUCAUAUUAAGCUGCCAUAAGUCCAUCACAAUAAUUUCUUUUAGAGGGUCUACAACACUCUGGAGGAAAUCUUUAAACCACCGAGCUCGCUUUGGAUUGUCAUCUGGACUGGAUGUGACUUAGACGGCGGAGAGAGCUGAAGCAGGAGCGGACAUGUCGAUCUGCUGUGCGGCCAGGCUAAACCUCCACCUCCUGGUAUUUUCCUCACAAACUCCACAUCCAUCACAAUGACAUCAAAUAUUUGGAUCUGCUGAUCGCUGAUCGGACAACUUCAUCCAGAAAUGCAGUGUGAAUAUUUAAAGAGAAAACUGUUGAACACGGAAAACACAGUGACUCUGAGAGUGAUCCACCUGUAAUCUACUCGGCAGUGAGAACUGAAGACAUCAGUUAUGGACAAAUAACUAUCAGACCAAAGAGGACCAGAGCUUAUCACACAUUUGAUUUCCAUGUGUGACAACUGCAAGUGUCCAGAGUGAGGACAGACUGAGGGACCCACUGCUGCACAUCAUCUGUGAGGCUUUGCACCCCUGAUGAUCCACCAGGACAAACUCAG